ACCUGGCUAGCUCAGUCAGAGGGCAUGUAACUCUUGAUCUCAGGGUUGUGAGUUCAAGCCCCAUGCUGGGUG
This 72-nucleotide transfer RNA is filed under the name Ailuropoda melanoleuca (giant panda). It matches the Rfam family "tRNA". From Rfam's summary of the family: Transfer RNA (tRNA) molecules are approximately 80 nucleotides in length. Their secondary structure includes four short double-helical elements and three loops (D, anti-codon, and T loops). Further hydrogen bonds mediate the characteristic L-shaped molecular structure. tRNAs have two regions of fundamental functional importance: the anti-codon, which is responsible for specific mRNA codon recognition, and the 3' end, to which the tRNAs corresponding amino acid is attached (by aminoacyl-tRNA synthetases). tRNAs cope with the degeneracy of the genetic code in two manners: having more than one tRNA (with a specific anti-codon) for a particular amino acid; and 'wobble' base-pairing, i.e. permitting non-standard base-pairing at the 3rd anti-codon position. Lineage: Eukaryota; Metazoa; Chordata; Mammalia; Carnivora; Ursidae. The record is from Rfam by way of RNAcentral.